RNAcentral lists this transfer RNA (30 nucleotides) under Chelonia mydas (Green sea turtle). RNAcentral's name for it is "partial tRNA-Pro". The record is from RNAcentral. Lineage: Eukaryota; Metazoa; Chordata; Testudines; Cheloniidae.
CAAAGGAUAGUUUAAUUAUAGGAUUCCGGU